CCUACGGGUGGCAGCAGUGGGGAAUAUUGGACAAUGGGCGAAAGCCUGAUCCAGCCAUGCCGCGUGUGUGAAGAAGGCCUUCGGGUUGUAAAGCACUUUCAGUGGGGAAGAAAGCCUUGGGGCUAAUACCCUCGAGGAAGGACAUCACCCACAGAAGAAGCACCGGCUAACUCCGUGCCAGCAGCCGCGGUAAUACGGAGGGUGCGAGCGUUAAUCGGAAUUACUGGGCGUAAAGCGCGCGUAGGCGGUCUGAUAAGCCGGUUGUGAAAGCCCCGGGCACAACCUGGGAACGGCAUCCGGAACUGUCAGGCUAGAGGGCAGGAGAGGAAGGUAGAAUUCCCGGUGUAGCGGUGAAAUGCGUAGAGAUCGGGAGGAAUACCAGUGGCGAAGGCGGCCUUCUGGACUGACACUGACGCUGAGGUGCGAAAGCGUGGGUAGCAAACAGGAUUAGAUACCCUGGUAGUC
This 465-nucleotide ribosomal RNA is filed under the name Vreelandella stevensii. RNAcentral's name for it is "partial 16S ribosomal RNA". It matches the Rfam family "Bacterial small subunit ribosomal RNA", at positions 338 to 795 of the family's 1533-position model. The record is from RNAcentral. Lineage: Bacteria; Pseudomonadati; Pseudomonadota; Gammaproteobacteria; Oceanospirillales; Halomonadaceae.